This 28-nucleotide non-coding RNA is filed under the name Mus musculus (house mouse). Lineage: Eukaryota; Metazoa; Chordata; Mammalia; Rodentia; Muridae. The record is from RNAcentral.
UGCCCAAAGAGCAAAUCUCAGCCUCACC